ACUCAAAUGAAUUGACGGGGGCCCGCACAAGCGGUGGAGCAUGUGGUUUAAUUCGAUGCAACGCGAAGAACCUUACCAAGGUUUGACAUCUGGAGAACCCUGCUGAAAGGCGGGGGUGCCGCAAGGAACUCCAAGACAGGUGGUGCAUGGCUGUCGUCAGCUCGUGUCGUGAGAUGUUGGGUUAAGUCCCGCAACGAGCGCAACCCUCGAUGUCAGUUGCUAGCAGGUAAAGCUGAGCACUCUGGCGUGACUGCCGGUGACAAACCGGAGGAAGGUGGGGAUGACGUCAAGUCAUCAUGCCCCUUAUGCCUUGGGCUACACACGUGCUACAAUGGUCGGGACAAUAGGCAGCAAAACCGCGAGGUGGAGCCAAUCCUCAAACCCGGCCUCAGUUCAGAUUGCAGGCUGCAACUCGCCUGCAUGAAGGCGGAAUCGCUAGUAACCGCAGGUCAGCAUACUGCGGUGAAUACGUUCCCGGGCCUUGUACACACCGCCCGU
Molecule: ribosomal RNA, 498 nt
Filed under: uncultured bacterium
Lineage: Bacteria
Description: partial 16S ribosomal RNA
Rfam family: Bacterial small subunit ribosomal RNA
Source: RNAcentral